AGUGAGAUCUAUUACCAAGGGAGCUGCAGCUGUCCAAUGUUGGAAAUGCCUCCUAGAGUAAGUCUCUGGCUUCUUUUUACUCAUAAGAUUGUUAGGUCUGUGGGAAGGAACUACCAGACAGUU
RNAcentral lists this small nucleolar RNA (123 nucleotides) under Octodon degus (degu). The record is from RNAcentral. Lineage: Eukaryota; Metazoa; Chordata; Mammalia; Rodentia; Octodontidae.